GACGAACGCUGGCGGCGUGCCUAAUACAUGCAAGUAGAACGCUGAAGAGAGGAGCUUGCUCUUCUUGGAUGAGUUGCGAACGGGUGAGUAACGCGUAGGUAACCUGCCUGGUAGCGGGGGAUAACUAUUGGAAACGAUAGCUAAUACCGCAUAAAAUGGAUUAUCGCAUGAUAAUCCAUUGAAAGGUGCAAAUGCAUCACUACCAGAUGGACCUGCGUUGUAUUAGCUAGUUGGUGGGGUAACGGCUCACCAAGGCGACGAUACAUAGCCGACCUGAGAGGGUGAUCGGCCACACUGGGACUGAGACACGGCCCAGACUCCUACGGGAGGCAGCAGUAGGGAAUCUUCGGCAAUGGACGGAAGUCUGACCGAGCAACGCCGCGUGAGUGAAGAAGGGUUUCGGAUCGUAAAGCUCUGUUGUAAGAGAAGAACGAGUGUGAGAGUGGAAAGUUCACACUGUGACGGUAGCUUACCAGAAAGGGACGGCUAACUACGUG
Molecule: ribosomal RNA, 497 nt
Filed under: uncultured bacterium
Lineage: Bacteria
Description: partial 16S ribosomal RNA
Rfam family: Bacterial small subunit ribosomal RNA
Source: RNAcentral